GACGAACGCUGGCGGCGUGCUUAACACAUGCGAGUCGAACGGAAAGGCCCUGCUUUUGUGGGGUGCUCGAGUGGCGAACGGGUGAGUAACACGUGAGUAACCUGCCCUUGACUUUGGGAUAACUUCAGGAAACUGGGGCUAAUACCGGAUAGGAGCUCCUGCUGCAUGGUGGGGGUUGGAAAGUUUCGGCGGUUGGGGAUGGACUCGCGGCUUAUCAGCUUGUUGGUGGGGUAGUGGCUUACCAAGGCUUUGACGGGUAGCCGGCCUGAGAGGGUGACCGGCCACAUUGGUACUGAGAUACGGCCCAGAAUCCUACGGGAGGCAGCAGUGGGGAGUAUUGCACAAUGGGCGGAAGCCUGAGGCAGCAACGCCGCGUGCGGGAUGACGGCCUUCGGGUUGUAAACCGCUUUCGCCUGUGACGAAGCGUGAGUGACGGUAAUGGGUAAAGAAGCACCGGCUAACUACGUG
Molecule: ribosomal RNA, 468 nt
Filed under: uncultured bacterium
Lineage: Bacteria
Description: partial 16S ribosomal RNA
Rfam family: Bacterial small subunit ribosomal RNA
Source: RNAcentral